GGCGCGCUGUCCACCUUCGCCAACACCAGCUCCUUCUUCUGGACCGUGGCCAUUGCGCUCUACUUGUACCUCAGUAUCGUCCGCGCCGCGCGCGGGCCUCGCACAGAUCGCCUGCUUUGGGCCUUCCAUGUCGUCAGCUGGGGGGUCCCGUUGGUCAUCACUGUGGCAGCCGUCGCCCUGAAGAAGAUUGGCUAUGAUGCCUCGGACGUGUCUGUGGGCUGGUGCUGGAUCGACCUGGAGGCCAAGGACCAUGUCCUGUGGAUGCUGCUGACGGGGAAGCUGUGGGAGAUGCUGGCAUAUGUGCUGCUGCCUCUGCUGUACCUCCUGGUCCGGAAGCACAUCAACAGAGCGGUAGGCGCUGCCCUCAGAGCUCAGGGCCCUCUAUAUGGCUGCUGCGCCCAGGUGCAAGGCCUGGCAUUGAGUUUGGCCACCCGAGGGGACAGGUUGCGUCUCUGGGG
This 458-nucleotide small RNA is filed under the name Pan troglodytes (chimpanzee). RNAcentral's name for it is "retained intron". Lineage: Eukaryota; Metazoa; Chordata; Mammalia; Primates; Hominidae. The record is from RNAcentral.